CAGACAUAUUUUUUUCACCAAAUAUGGCUUAACAAUGACAGGCAUUUUAAACUGUAGGCCGCAAUGUGUGCGAAUUAUUGGCAAAAGGCAACCUCAGGCUGCCUUUUUCUUU
Molecule: non-coding RNA, 112 nt
Filed under: Kosakonia oryzendophytica
Lineage: Bacteria; Pseudomonadati; Pseudomonadota; Gammaproteobacteria; Enterobacterales; Enterobacteriaceae
Also listed under: 1 other name
Source: RNAcentral